Molecule: ribosomal RNA, 729 nt
Filed under: Lacticaseibacillus paracasei
Lineage: Bacteria; Bacillati; Bacillota; Bacilli; Lactobacillales; Lactobacillaceae
Description: bacterial SSU rRNA
Rfam family: Bacterial small subunit ribosomal RNA
Source: RNAcentral
AGUCUGAUGGAGCGACGCCGCGUGAGUGAAGAAGGCUUUCGGGUCGUAAAACUCUGUUGUUGGAGAAGAAUGGUCGGCAGAGUAACUGUUGUCGGCGUGACGGUAUCCAACCAGAAAGCCACGGCUAACUACGUGCCAGCAGCCGCGGUAAUACGUAGGUGGCAAGCGUUAUCCGGAUUUAUUGGGCGUAAAGCGAGCGCAGGCGGUUUUUUAAGUCUGAUGUGAAAGCCCUCGGCUUAACCGAGGAAGCGCAUCGGAAACUGGGAAACUUGAGUGCAGAAGAGGACAGUGGAACUCCAUGUGUAGCGGUGAAAUGCGUAGAUAUAUGGAAGAACACCAGUGGCGAAGGCGGCUGUCUGGUCUGUAACUGACGCUGAGGCUCGAAAGCAUGGGUAGCGAACAGGAUUAGAUACCCUGGUAGUCCAUGCCGUAAACGAUGAAUGCUAGGUGUUGGAGGGUUUCCGCCCUUCAGUGCCGCAGCUAACGCAUUAAGCAUUCCGCCUGGGGAGUACGACCGCAUGGUUGAAACUCAAAGGAAUUGACGGGGGCCCGCACAAGCGGUGGAGCAUGUGGUUUAAUUCGAAGCAACGCGAAGAACCUUACCUGGUCUUGACAUCUUUUGAUCACCUGAGAGAUCAGGUUUCCCCUUCGGGGGCAAAAUGACAGGUGGUGCAUGGUUGUCGUCAGCUCGUGUCGUGAGAUGUUGGGGUUAAGUCCGCAACGAGCGCA